This 357-nucleotide ribosomal RNA is filed under the name uncultured bacterium. RNAcentral's name for it is "bacterial SSU rRNA". It matches the Rfam family "Bacterial small subunit ribosomal RNA", at positions 29 to 412 of the family's 1533-position model. The record is from RNAcentral.
AGCGAACGCUGGCGGCAGGCUUAACACAUGCAAGUCGAACGGGCGUAGCAAUACGUCAGUGGCAGACGGGUGAGUAACGCGUGGGAACGUACCUUUUGGUCGGAACAACCCAGGGAAACUUGGGCUAAUACCGGAUAAGCCCUUACGGGGAAAGAUUUAUCGCCGAAAGAUCGGCCCGCGUCUGAUUAGCUAGUUGGUGUGGUAACGGCGCACCAAGGCGACGAUCAGUAGCUGGUCUGAGAGGAUGAUCAGCCACAUUGGGACUGAGACACGGCCCAAACUCCUACGGGAGGCAGCAGUGGGGAAUAUUGGACAAUGGGCGCAAGCCUGAUCCAGCCAUGCCGCGUGAGUGAUGAA